This 391-nucleotide unclassified non-coding RNA is filed under the name soil metagenome. RNAcentral describes it as "partial contains 5.8S ribosomal RNA, internal transcribed spacer 2, and large subunit ribosomal RNA". The stretch from base 1 to 122 matches the Rfam family "5.8S ribosomal RNA", at positions 35 to 154 of the family's 154-position model. The record is from RNAcentral.
GAUGAAGAACGUAGCGAAAUGCGACACUUGGUGUGAAUUGCAGAAUCCCGUGAACCAUCGAGUCUUUGAACGCAAGUUGCGCCCGAAGCCAUUAGGCCGAGGGCACGCCUGCCUGGGCGUCACACGUCGUUGCCCCCCCAUCUACUCCUUCGGGAUUGCGGGGGGCGGAUGAUGGCCUCCCGUGCGCCUCGUCGCGCGGUUGGCAUAAAUGCCAAGUCCUCGGCGACGCACGCCACGACAAUCGGUGGUUGCGAAACCUCGGUUGCCCGUCGUGUGCGGUCGUCGCGCAUCGAGGGCUCGAAAAAAUUGCCGGGCUCCGGCUCGGCUUUCAACGCGACCCCAGGUCAGGCGGGGUUACCCGCUGAAUUUAAGCAUAUCAAUAAGCGGAGGA